Molecule: ribosomal RNA, 474 nt
Filed under: Triticum aestivum (bread wheat)
Lineage: Eukaryota; Viridiplantae; Streptophyta; Magnoliopsida; Poales; Poaceae
Description: partial small subunit ribosomal RNA
Source: RNAcentral
AUGGAUCGCCGCCGCCAUCACCAAGCCAGAGAAUUCGUGGCGGACGUGGUGCUGUGGCGGCGAGGCCGGGCGGACCUGACCGCGCUGCUGCUAGCGGCCACCGUCGCCUCCUGGAUCCUCUUCAACCGCGCCUCCGGAUACACGGCCGUCUCACUGGCUGCCGACGUGCUGCUCCUCCUGCUGGUGGUGCUCUACGCAUGGUCCAGGGCCGCGCGCCUCCUCGGCCGCCCCGCCCCGUCCAUCCCCGACCUGCAGCCGGCGGCCGACGAGCUCGUCGCGCUGGUCCGCUCCGGCCUCGCCCGCCUCGCCUCCGCCUUCCGCCGCGUCGCGCAGGGCCAACCCGGCUCCGGGCGCGUCUUCGCCUGCCUCGCCGCUGCCGCCCUGCCCGGCGGCCUCGCGCGCGACCUCCCCACCCUUUUCAUAGCAGGAACUGGAAUCUGUGUGUUCGGGCGGUUUGCUCUAUCCCUCUCGUAA